This 608-nucleotide long non-coding RNA is filed under the name Physcomitrium patens. RNAcentral's name for it is "long non-coding RNA (PPAT_LNC012455)". The record is from RNAcentral. Lineage: Eukaryota; Viridiplantae; Streptophyta; Bryopsida; Funariales; Funariaceae.
CCAUCAACUAUCUUCGAAGAGAACAAAGAUCAGAGUAUGUAGCAAAUACAAUUCGCCGCAUAUUAGAUUUUCUCAAUAUAUAAUCAUUAUGAUCUUUAAUUGCUACAUCUUAAGGAACAAUCUGUCACGGACAUACAUAUAAUUACCUAUAUGAAUAGAUAAAAGUAUGUAAAAGUAGGUUAAUUGUGUAAUAUCUUCUAGAGAAGCUUCUUAGAAGCUUCAUAGACGCUGCUUUGACUUUAUAGGAGUCUAUAGUUGACUUUUAGGUUAGAAACUUGGUCAACAAGUUAGCCAUGUGCCACGCAUGUUAGAAGCUUAAAGAACAAGCUAACUAUGUGGUCCAUCCAUAGAAAACUUGCCUUGCAAGCAAAGGCAUGUGGCCUAGAAAGUCAACAUAUAUUGGAGGUCUUAUAGAACAUCGCCACGUGGCUUCUAGUUAGAUAGUAUAUAUAGAGGCAAGAGUGAAGCCCUCUUCACUCUUGUCAACUCCUUUCUUGCUUCUAGUCUAGUUUCAAGGGUCUCUAGUUUUCUUGUAUUUUGGCAAUAGCCAUUCCAGUUUCUUUCUUAAUAUACAUAUUUUGUCCUAUUUCUUUUUGAGAAAAGUCUCA